UUAAAAUCUGCUUGAAUUUACUGAGUCAGUCCCUGUUUCUGUGUCUGCUAAUGUCACAGGUGUCAAGAACACAAAAAGACGCAGUGGGAACUCGAGCCAUGUUCACAGGUACACAGCCAGACACUCAAGAAUCAUAGGAAUCAUAAGGAAAGAGAUUAUCAGGAUCCACAUCCAGUAUCUCGCUGCACCAUAACCUACUUCGUCAUUCUACCAGAAAAUGAAAUGGAAGUUUUCUGAUGUGGCUCC
Molecule: long non-coding RNA, 246 nt
Filed under: Mustela putorius furo (domestic ferret)
Lineage: Eukaryota; Metazoa; Chordata; Mammalia; Carnivora; Mustelidae
Description: lncRNA (ENSMPUG00000024279.1)
Source: RNAcentral